GACGAACGCUGGCGGCGUGCUUAACACAUGCAAGUCGAACGAAGAGCGAUGGAAUCUUGCUUCUAUCAAUCUUAGUGGCGAACGGGUGAGUAACGCGUAAUCAACCUGCCCUUCAGAGGUGGACAACAGUUGGAAACGACUGCUAAUACCGCAUACUAUCUAAUCUCGGCAUCGAGGAUAGAUUAAAGGUGGCCUCUACAUGUAACCUAUCACUUAAGGAGGGGAUUGCGUCUGAUUAGCUAGUUGGAGUGGUAACGGCCCACCAAGGCGAUGAUCAGUAGCAGGGAUGAGAGGAUGAAUGGCCACACUGGGACUGAGACACGGCCCAGACUGCUACGGGAGGCAGCAGUGGGGAAUCGUCCGCAAGGGACGAAAGUCUGACGGAGCAACGCCGAGUGAGUGAGGACGGACUUCGGGUUGUAAAGCUCUGUUAAUCGGGACGAAAGGGCUUCUUGCGAAUAGUGAGAAGGAUUGACGGUACCGGAAUAGAAAGCCACGGCUAACUACGUG
RNAcentral lists this ribosomal RNA (510 nucleotides) under uncultured bacterium. Its description in RNAcentral is "partial 16S ribosomal RNA". It matches the Rfam family "Bacterial small subunit ribosomal RNA", at positions 28 to 507 of the family's 1533-position model. The record is from RNAcentral.